RNAcentral lists this long non-coding RNA (393 nucleotides) under Equus caballus (horse). Its description in RNAcentral is "lncRNA (ENSECAG00000044116.1)". Lineage: Eukaryota; Metazoa; Chordata; Mammalia; Perissodactyla; Equidae. The record is from RNAcentral.
CAGUUCUGGAGAGGCGACCCCAGCAUCUACCAAGCCUUGUUUGUCCUCAGGCGAAGGAUGUCCCUGAAACAACCCUCUGGUUACCAGAAGCACAGAACAUUAAAGUCUGCAGCCAGACCUUGAUCUACGUCUUAAAUAAUCCAGUCCAGUGAAAUAUCAAAACUCGAAACUCCCAACCACUUGAAAAAGUCUCUCCUCCUUCCUUUCUGCUUGGGUGGAAUUAGAAUCGAGACCUACAGCGCCGCUGCCUCAGGCUCUCCUCCCUGUCUCAGGAAGAAGAAAUGCACAGCACCCUGCCCCUCUAUCCACAUCUCUUCAAACUCUAACACUUCCCAUCCUCUGAAACAGUCUGGGAGUCGGUCCUGGGCUCACGGCAGCAGAAUGGGGACAUCC